UGGAGGGGAAGAUGAAUAUUUGACCAAAGAAGGGGACCUUGCUGAAAUGAAAGAUAUUAGUAGAAUUGGGAUUUCCAUAGAAUUGGAUGAGGCCCAUUUUUCUCACUUGGAACUUCCCUUAUUUUCGGUAGGAGGCAUGCACCGACCACGAACAAUGAAAUUUCGAAGGCAAAUUGCUGGGCAAUCUGUAGUAGUGUUAGUUGACAGUGAGGUAAGCCAUAAUUUCAUUUCUAAUCAGCUAGUCCAACGCUUGAAAUUACCAGUCAUAGUAACACAUCCUUCAAUGUCAAGUUAGGCAGCGAAUGUAAAAUUUCUUCUGCUAGUCUAUGUAAGCAAUUACAAUUGCAUUUGGCUAAUUUUAUUAUUAAUACUUGCUAUAUAUUUCCUUUAGGUGGAUUUGAUUUUAUUUUGGGUGUAGCAUGGUUAGAAACCAUGGGUGAGGUGUAGGCUAAUUAGAGUAAGAUGACAUUGAGA
This 474-nucleotide unclassified non-coding RNA is filed under the name Hevea brasiliensis (rubber tree). Lineage: Eukaryota; Viridiplantae; Streptophyta; Magnoliopsida; Malpighiales; Euphorbiaceae. The record is from RNAcentral.